Molecule: ribosomal RNA, 951 nt
Filed under: uncultured bacterium
Lineage: Bacteria
Description: bacterial SSU rRNA
Rfam family: Bacterial small subunit ribosomal RNA
Source: RNAcentral
GGGAAGAAGAGAAAUUGACGGUACCUGCAGAGAAAGCGCCGGCUAUCUACGUGCCAGCAGCCGCGGUAAUACGUAGGGCGCGAGCGUUGUCCGGAAUUAUUGGGCGUAAAGAGCUGGUACCCCCUCCCUCGCGUCUGCUGUGAAAGGCCGGGGCUUAACCCCGUGUAUUGCAGUGGGUACGGGCAGACUAGAGUGCAGUAGGGGAGACUGGAACUCCUGGUGUAGCGGUGGAAUGUGCAGAUAUCAGGAGGAACACCGAUGGCGAAGGCAGGUCUCUGGGCUGUAACUGACGCUGAGAAGCGAAAGCAUGGGGAGCGAACAAGGAUUAAAUACCAUGUUAGUCCAUACCGUAACCGUAGGGCACUAGGUAUGGGGGACAUUCCACGUUUUCCGCGCCGUAGCUAACGCAUUAAGUGCCCCGCCUGGGGAGUACGGCCGCAAGGCUAAAACUCAAAGAAAUUGACGGGGGCCCGCACAAGCGGCGGAGCAUGCGGAUUAAUUCGAUGCAACGCGAAGAACCUUACCAAGGCUUGACAUAUACUGGACCGCAUCAGAGAUGGUGUUUCCCUUCGGGGCUGGUAUACAGGUGGUGCAUGGUUGUCGUCAGCUCGUGUCGUGAGAUGUUGGGUUAAGUCCCGCAACGAGCGCAACCCUCGUUCUAUGUUGCCAGCACGUUAUGGUGGGGACUCAUAGGAGACUGCCGGGGUCAACUCGGAGGAAGGUGGGGAUGACGUCAAAUCAUCAUGCCCCUUAUGUCUUGGGCUUCACGCAUGCUACAAUGGCCGGUACAGAGGGUUGCGAUACUGUGAGGUGGAGCUAAUCCCUAAAAGCCGGUCUCAGUUCGGAUUGGGGUCUGCAACUCGACCCCAUGAAGUCGGAGUCGCUAGUAAUCGCAGAUCAGCAACGCUGCGGUGAAUACGUUCCCGGGCCUUGCACACACCGCCCGUCAAG